RNAcentral lists this ribosomal RNA (478 nucleotides) under uncultured bacterium. RNAcentral describes it as "partial 16S ribosomal RNA". It matches the Rfam family "Bacterial small subunit ribosomal RNA", at positions 28 to 507 of the family's 1533-position model. The record is from RNAcentral.
GAUGAACGCUAGCGGCAGGCCUAACACAUGCAAGUCGAGGGAAAAGCCCUUUCGGGGGCGGAAACCGGCGCACGGGUGCGUAACGCGUAUCCAACCUACCUUUCACAGGGGGAUAGCCGGAAGAAAUUUGGUUUAAUACCCCUUAAUAUUAUUGGAUGGCAUCAUUUGUUAAUAAAAACUGCGUUGGGGAAAGUUGGGCAUGCGUCCUAUUAGCUAGUUGGAGUGGUAACGGCACCCCAAGGCUACGAUAGGUAGGGGUCCUGAGAGGGAGAUCCCCCACACUGGUACUGAGACAGGGACCAGACUCCUACGGGAGGCAGCAGUGAGGAAUAUUGGUCAAUGGUCGGAAGACUGAACCAGCCAUGCCGCGUGCAGGAAGAAUGCCUUAUGGGUUGUAAACUGCUUUUAUAUGGGAAGAAUAAGGUGUACGUGUACAUUGAUGACGGUACCAUAUGAAUAAGCAUCGGCUAACUCCGUG